This 374-nucleotide long non-coding RNA is filed under the name Medicago truncatula (barrel medic). RNAcentral's name for it is "long non-coding RNA (MTRU_LNC001161)". Lineage: Eukaryota; Viridiplantae; Streptophyta; Magnoliopsida; Fabales; Fabaceae. The record is from RNAcentral.
CCAUGAUGUCCUAGUGGUAUGGAUAAUUAGCUUUCGUGGUGUUAUUAUCAACUUUUCCUCCUUCUCAUUGCUCAGCGUUACCACGGUGCCUUGUUGUUUUUUUUUUGACAUCCUCCUCAUCUAUCUCAACUUCAGAAUUAGCAGCUGCACGCAAACCACAUAUUGGCUUGCUCUUCUUCCUCGUCAGCGUGUUUCCUAAGAUCAUGGUACUCGUAUAAAGAAAGUGUUACCACAGUAGUAGCUUUCUCUCUGUAACUUUUGAGUAGGAUUAACACUUUACUUCAAAGACCACGCUUGCCUACUUUCUCUUCAUUGUUUCUUGCCAUCUUAUUUUUAUUUGUACAGUUCAACCCAGACACCAUUAGCCAACCGUU